This is a long non-coding RNA of Photinus pyralis (common eastern firefly), 299 nucleotides long. RefSeq lists it as uncharacterized. NCBI's taxonomy places the organism in Eukaryota, Metazoa, Arthropoda, Insecta, Coleoptera, Lampyridae. The record is from RefSeq and is a predicted model, not a curated record. The transcript has 3 exons.
AUCGGAUGACUCUGAAAAAUCGGAAGAAAUUAAACGUAAUGGUGACGAUACUGGUCUCGUACAGUUGGCGGUACUUUUGUAUACGUAUACAAAAAAAACCCUAUAAAGUUAUGGUUAAAAUAAAAUUAUAUUAUUAAAUUGGCAAUUUCGCUUACCUCAAUUCAGAGGGUUUCACACGUAAUUUGGAUGCAGCGCAAAGAAACGGAUGUCGUACAACUGAAUAAUCCCCAAAAUGGGCAAUGGAAUAAAUUUGCUUCAAAACAGCAAUCCAAAAAACGUAAAGCAACACUCUACUGCAG